AAAAAACCUGAAGCACUAAAGGCUUUUUCUUUUUUCCCAUAACAUUUGAGAAUAAUUGGAAGAAAGAGGGGAGAGUAGAAAAGAGGCUGCUAUCUGCAAACUGUGAAAGUUCAUGUUUGGGGUUGCGACAGAGGACUGGCAGCAGCAAGGAGACUUAUGGCAUGGCAGCACUGAUGUGGUUGUGUACAUCUCUGAGGUUCAUUGCUGUUUUUUCUGCAGUCUGUGAAUUGUCUUCCAUCCUGUGCUUCAUUCCAAAUGGACCAGACUCUGGGGAACAGUGCAGACUACUACUUUGUGUUGUCACCUAGUGUGCUGACAGGAUGAAGAAAAGUGUUUG
Molecule: long non-coding RNA, 337 nt
Filed under: Zonotrichia albicollis (white-throated sparrow)
Lineage: Eukaryota; Metazoa; Chordata; Aves; Passeriformes; Passerellidae
Description: lncRNA (ENSZALG00000003377.1)
Source: RNAcentral